RNAcentral lists this microRNA precursor (127 nucleotides) under Marmota monax (woodchuck). Lineage: Eukaryota; Metazoa; Chordata; Mammalia; Rodentia; Sciuridae. The record is from RNAcentral.
GUGAUUGGGUAUAUUUGGUUGUUUCUCUCUCUCUCUCUCUCUCUCUCUCUGUGUGUGUGUGUGUGUGAGAGAGAGAGAGAGAGAGAGAGAGAGAGAGAGAGAGAGAUGAGCAAACAUAUGCAGUUGA